CAGUAGCCGCGGUAAUACGUGGGUCCCGAGCGUUGUCCGGAUUUAUUGGGCGUAAAGCGAGCGCAGGCGGUUAGAUAAGUCUGAAGUUAAAGGCUGUGGCUUAACCAUAGUACGCUUUGGAAACUGUUUAACUUGAGUGCAAGAGGGGAGAGUGGAAUUCCAUGUGUAGCGGUGAAAUGCGUAGAUAUAUGGAGGAACACCGGUGGCGAAAGCGGCUCUCUGGCUUGUAACUGACGCUGAGGCUCGAAAGCGUGGGGAGCAAACAGGAUUAGAUACCCGCGUAGUCCCUGUCUCUUAUACA
Molecule: ribosomal RNA, 301 nt
Filed under: uncultured bacterium
Lineage: Bacteria
Description: partial 16S ribosomal RNA
Rfam family: Bacterial small subunit ribosomal RNA
Source: RNAcentral